Molecule: ribosomal RNA, 253 nt
Filed under: uncultured bacterium
Lineage: Bacteria
Description: partial 16S ribosomal RNA
Rfam family: Bacterial small subunit ribosomal RNA
Source: RNAcentral
UACGUAGGGUGCGAGCGUUGUCCGGAAUUAUUGGGCGUAAAGAGCUUGUAGGCAGUCUGUCGCGUCUGCUGUGAAAAUCCGGGGCUCAACCCCGGACUUGCAGUGGGUACGGGCAGACUAGAGUGUGGUAGGGGAGACUGGAAUUCCUGGUGUAGCGGUGAAAUGCGCAGAUAUCAGGAGGAACACCGGUGGCGAAGGCGGGUCUCUGGGCCGAUAUUGACGCUGAGGAGCGAAAGCGUGGGGAGCGAACAGG